This 197-nucleotide ribosomal RNA is filed under the name uncultured bacterium. RNAcentral's name for it is "partial 16S ribosomal RNA". It matches the Rfam family "Bacterial small subunit ribosomal RNA", at positions 328 to 539 of the family's 1533-position model. The record is from RNAcentral.
ACGCUCGACACCUACGAGAGGCAGCAGUGAGGGAUAUUGGUCAAUGGGGGAAACCCUGAACCAGCAACGCCGCGUGAGGGAUGACGGUCUUCGGAUUGUAAACCUCUGUCCUCUGUGAAGAUAAUGACGGUAGCAGAGGAGGAAGCUCCGGCUAACUACGUGCCAGCAGCCGGGUAAUCUGAGCGGGCUGGCAAGGC